RNAcentral lists this ribosomal RNA (478 nucleotides) under uncultured bacterium. Its description in RNAcentral is "partial 16S ribosomal RNA". It matches the Rfam family "Bacterial small subunit ribosomal RNA", at positions 28 to 523 of the family's 1533-position model. The record is from RNAcentral.
GACGAACGCUGGCGGCGUGCUUAACACAUGCAAGUCGAACGGUAAGGCCCUUCGGGGUACACGAGUGGCGAACGGGUGAGUAACACGUGGGUGAUCUGCCCUGCACUUCGGGAUAAGCCUGGGAAACUGGGUCUAAUACCGGAUAGGACCACUGCCUGCAUGGGUGGUGGUGGAAAGCUUUUGCGGUGUGGGAUGGGCCCGCGGCCUAUCAGCUGGUUGGUGGGGUGAUGGCCUACCAAGGCGACGACGGGUAGCCGGCCUGAGAGGGUGACCGGCCACACUGGGACUGAGAUAUGGCCCAGACUCCUACGGGAGGCAGCAGUGGGGAAUAGUGCACAAUGGGCGCAAGCCUGAUGCAGCGACGCCGCGUGAGGGAUGACGGCCUUCGGGUUGUAAACCUCUUUCAGCACCGACGAAGCGCAAGUGACGGUAGGUGCAGAAGAAGGACCGGCCAACUACGUGCCAGCCGCCGCAGUAA